This is a small nuclear RNA of Cavia aperea (Brazilian guinea pig), 80 nucleotides long. Its record names the gene U4. It matches the Rfam family "U4 spliceosomal RNA". Rfam says of the family: U4 small nuclear RNA (U4 snRNA) is a component of the major U2-dependent spliceosome. The structure of U4 snRNA from yeast and human has been reported. The record is from Ensembl. Lineage: Eukaryota; Metazoa; Chordata; Mammalia; Rodentia; Caviidae.
UAACUUAUGCAGUGGCAGUAUUGUAGCCAAUGAGGUUUAUACGAGAUGCAAUUAUUGCUAAUUAAAAACUAAUUUUAGUU